RNAcentral lists this ribosomal RNA (1394 nucleotides) under Weissella confusa. RNAcentral describes it as "bacterial SSU rRNA". It matches the Rfam family "Bacterial small subunit ribosomal RNA", at positions 63 to 1428 of the family's 1533-position model. The record is from RNAcentral. Lineage: Bacteria; Bacillati; Bacillota; Bacilli; Lactobacillales; Lactobacillaceae.
CGCUUUGUGGUUCACUGAUUUGAAGAGCUUGCUCAGAUAUGACGAUGGACAUUGCAAAGAGUGGCGAACGGGUGAGUAACACGUGGGAAACCUACCUCUUAGCAGGGGAUAACAUUUGGAAACAGAUGCUAAUACCGUAUAACAAUGACAACCGCAUGGUUGUUAUUUAAAAGAUGGUUCUGCUAUCACUAAGAGAUGGUCCCGCGGUGCAUUAGCUAGUUGGUAAGGUAAUGGCUUACCAAGGCGAUGAUGCAUAGCCGAGUUGAGAGACUGAUCGGCCACAAUGGGACUGAGACACGGCCCAUACUCCUACGGGAGGCAGCAGUAGGGAAUCUUCCACAAUGGGCGAAAGCCUGAUGGAGCAACGCCGCGUGUGUGAUGAAGGGUUUCGGCUCGUAAAACACUGUUGUAAGAGAAGAAUGACAUUGAGAGUAACUGUUCAAUGUGUGACGGUAUCUUACCAGAAAGGAACGGCUAAAUACGUGCCAGCAGCCGCGGUAAUACGUAUGUUCCAAGCGUUAUCCGGAUUUAUUGGGCGUAAAGCGAGCGCAGACGGUUAUUUAAGUCUGAAGUGAAAGCCCUCAGCUCAACUGAGGAAUUGCUUUGGAAACUGGAUGACUUGAGUGCAGUAGAGGAAAGUGGAACUCCAUGUGUAGCGGUGAAAUGCGUAGAUAUAUGGAAGAACACCAGUGGCGAAGGCGGCUUUCUGGACUGUAACUGACGUUGAGGCUCGAAAGUGUGGGUAGCAAACAGGAUUAGAUACCCUGGUAGUCCACACCGUAAACGAUGAGUGCUAGGUGUUUGAGGGUUUCCGCCCUUAAGUGCCGCAGCUAACGCAUUAAGCACUCCGCCUGGGGAGUACGACCGCAAGGUUGAAACUCAAAGGAAUUGACGGGGACCCGCACAAGCGGUGGAGCAUGUGGUUUAAUUCGAAGCAACGCGAAGAACCUUACCAGGUCUUGACAUCCCUUGACAACUCCAGAGAUGGAGCGUUCCCUUCGGGGACAAGGUGACAGGUGGUGCAUGGUUGUCUCAGCUCUGUCGUGAAUGUUGGGUUAAGUCCCGCAACACGCAACCCUUAUUACUAUUGCCACAUUCAGUUGGGACCUAUGGACUGCCGGUGACAAACCGGAGGAAGGUGGGGAUGACGUCAAAUCAUCAUGCCCCUUAUGACCUGGGCUACACACGUGCUACAAUGGCGUAUACAACGAGUUGCCAACCCGCGAGGGUGAGCUAAUCUCUUAAAGUACGUCUCAGUUCGGAUUGUAGGCUGCAACUCGCCUACAUGAAGUCGGAAUCGCUAGUAAUCGCGGAUCAGCACGCCGCGGUGAAUACGUUCCCGGGUCUUGUACACACCGCCCGUCACACCAUGAGAGUUUGUAACACCCAAAGCC